Long non-coding RNA from Dromaius novaehollandiae (emu), 9537 nucleotides. RefSeq lists it as uncharacterized. The transcript has 2 exons. The record is from RefSeq and is a predicted model, not a curated record. NCBI's taxonomy places the organism in Eukaryota, Metazoa, Chordata, Aves, Casuariiformes, Dromaiidae.
CUGCGGCCUCAAGAUGGCGGUGGCGGCGGUGGCGGCGCUCGGGGGCCUUGCGGGGAGCGGUCGCCGCCUCCCGUCCCGGGUACCGCUGCGAGGCCCCGUCGUGGCCGCGGAGACUCCCCGCUCCCCGCCUGCCCCGCCGGCAGAGCCGUUCUCCCCGCACCGGCCCUUCCAGCCGCGGGCGAGGCGAGGCGAGGCAGGGAGCGGGCUAGGCCGCGGCCAGGCGCGUGUGGCGCAAGGCCGCUACGCCGCAUCCCGGCUCGCAGAGCUCUUCCCGUGCCCCCGGCAGGGUCCCCCGCCCCCGGGACAGCCCCGCCGCCUCUCUGCAGCGGCCCGUCUGGAAGCGUGGUCCAUCCUCUGCGCUGGGAGGAAUCAAAGCACCCAUCAGCAUAGGGGAUGGAUUUUUCCACAAAAUGGGUCUUUUGGUGAAUUUGUGUGCUGGCCAGGUGUAGGGCAGCUCCUCGCUUCCCCCCAUGAUGCGUGGAGAGAUGUCUGCCGUAUCACGCCUUCCUCCUCUCUGUCCUUGCUUGCUUUUUACAGCUUAGUGGGUUUUUUUUUUUUUUUAGCUGCUUUUCUCAUAAAGAUUUUGGCAUUUGUUUCUACUGGCUUCAGGACAAAACAUAAAACCAGGGCCUAGGUCACAUGAGGUCACUGAAGAUCCAUAGGAUGCUUUCUGUGAGCAACGAAUCGCUAGGCCAUUCCCACUGUGAGUUUGCUUACUGCUCCGCAUCCAUUUACCCGUGGUUUCACCAGGGUCCAGCCCCCAGACUCCCGCUAGGAGACCGCUCGGCAGCUUUGAGCAGCUGCCCUCUAAUCCAGAGUUGGCCACUGCUCGGGGUGGUUUGGGGGUAGCUGCGGAGAGAUGGCUCAGAUGAAAGCGCUAUACAAAGGUUUCCUUUUUAAAUGAGAAAUUGCAGGUGGCGGCAGCUUUCAUCACGAAAGCAUCAACUGCUUUGAUAUUUUCCGGCUCUGGUGGAUUAGUUUUGGAGGCAUCAUCGCUGUGGUUCAGCGAGACCUGCUGCCUUGUGCCUUGUUCAGCCCCGAGGCCAGGAAUAGGGGGAUGAAUGAAUUUUUUUUCUUCUUUCUCUUUCAAUAAAGAAAAAAUAACUAUUAGAGAUCAUUUUGAGAUGUCACUUCUCUUUUAUGAAUACUUGAGGUCAAGCCAUGCGUGUCGCAUGGAGCAAGAACAAGAUAAGUACACGUGUUCCUGAGACAUGAGUUUCAUUUUCCGUGUUUCUUCCCCAUUACUUUACCCUCAAGAUGAAUCAUGCUCUGUUACCAUGGAAACAAUCAACAUCAGUUAGUUUUUUUUUUUACUUUUCCAGGCCCAGAGUGACCAGAUGACACACGCCAACAGGCUACGCUCGCCCCUGGAGCACCGCUCCGUGACUCACUGCCACCGUUACCCAUCCAUCGCGAGGGAGAAACGCAGACUGGGUGUGAGCGUUCCCCCUUCCUUUGCUGUUUUCCUUGUUUUGAGGGACAGAGGAGACUGGGAUGGGAAAGGUCCCAUCCGUGCUGAAAAAAUGAACAACGCAUCCUGCUCGCGCACAUUAAAAGAAACUGGAAGGUGCAGCCCUGGCUGGGUGAAGGGCUAAUGGGGAGUGCAGAUGCGUUUCCACUGGGUGAAAAGCGGCAGCAGGUGGUUUGGCUUAACUCCCUCCCUGAUACCUUCUCUUCUACGGCAAGACUGGUUUGAUGCGAAGUAGGUUUUGCGUUUUGCCUAAGUAGCUGUGGGAAGCCAAGACUUCCUAAAAAUGAAACCAUACGAGGCCGUGCGAAUGACCACAGGGGGUCAGCCCAGCUCUCCUCAGCAGGGCUCGCAGCAGACGUCUGGGGCCUGCACGUUUUGGACCAGCCUCGUCCACACACAUCCUCCCGGUUUCCGGCAGUCAGCAGCGUGGGGACAGCCCGACCUGGGAGAUACAUCCGGCUGAACAGCCCCCGAAACCCUCUUCCAUGUCAGCAGCCCAGGAACAUGUGGCAGGAAGGCAGCAAAGGGACUGACCUCUCAUGGAGGUGGGACUGCCUGUGCUUUAUGCCCUCCCCGGGGCUGUCUAAGCCUGCCGCAAAGCCUGGGCCAGCCAUGCAGGGAGGGCAGGACAGUGCUGGCCAGCCGGCCGGUUUUCAGUCCCCCACUCCUGAAAACUUUUAAGUUCUUUUGCUAUUUUUAACCACGCUGGAAGGAGACAGCUGUGGUCUUGCAUGCUUCGAGAAGAGUAGGUGGCCAGCUAGCAGAGAAGCACUGGAUUUGGAUCAGGGGAGACCUGGGUGGUGGCUCAGCCGCUUUGCUCCCGAGAGUCCUCCCGAGAAACAGGCUUUGCUGCUUGGUGUCUGCUUGGCGUCGGGCACGUGGCUGCUGCUGAGCUCUCACCUCUCCCCGAGACAUCGUCAAGUCCCACUCGGUGGCUUCUAAAGGUCAAGCAAUCAGGGCCAGUGAGGAUUCACAGCAGCCAACAGAUGAAUCUCCCAGCUACCUCCGGAGCCAGGAUUUGGUUGCUAGAGAGCAAGGGGAAAGUUAAAAUAAUACAUUUCCACUUGGGUCACAAAUGCGCUCAUAUGCACCAGUUCAUAUUUUGUUGCGGGGUGGAAAAACAAACAAUAAAGCGCUGUUCUCUGGCUGCUCAGCGUUCGCCAGUGCUGGAACAAGGCGAUUACAAGGCACGGAAACUGCAAAUUCAUGACUGCGAGACAGUCAGAAAGAUGGGAAGCGGGCCAUGCACUUGCUCGAUGUAAAUGUCUUAGUCUGAAACACACCCUGCUUUAUGAGGAGAGAAAAAGCGCUCUGCUUUCACUUGGCCCUAUGACACAAUGCGCGAAGAACGGCAAAAUCCUCGCCACAAGCGAAUUGUUUACAUUCUGUUUUGGAAACAGAGGCGCAGGGCUCCGUAUACCCAGGGACUGGUCGCUCUGGCUCUUUUUAACCUCUAAUAGAUGAGGUUAUGGCCACUCACGGCUAAAUCUUGAGCGGGAAUGGAAAUGUCGAAGGUGUGCAGAAGAAAUGAGUGAAACAGCUCGGUGCGUCCCGAUAGCACGAAGGACCCGGUGCCCACCGAACCGUGGAGGGGAGAAAGCCACAGCCAUGCCUCCCCGCGUGCUGCCCGUGCCUUGGCUGGCUGGUGAUAAACUAAAUACCUGCAAGCGCUUAAUGAAGCCGUAGGGGAGAGCUGGCAGCAGAGCACUGCAGCGGGCCAGGUGGCCGGCUGGAGCGCGGGAAAUGGUGUUGCUUUGGGGCUCACGAUAACGUUAGUGCAGUUAUGGAAGAAGAAGUGCAUCUGGAGCGGGUCUGCCUCACUGGAAAUAAUUAUCCAAGCUGCAGCCGAGAAGCCAAAGAUAAUUUAACUGCAGGGGAAAGGGAAGUGUUAGAAAAUGCAGGUGUGUAGCAACCCCGGCCGUGGCUGGCGGGGAGCAGAGGACGCCUCUUGCAGCCCAUGGAGGCUGAAUGAAGCGUGUCCUGCAUCUUCAGGUCGUCUCCUCACUCUGGACCAUGGCCCGGGAACGAAUUUUGUGCAGAAAAUCCCACCAGCUAUCCCAAAUCGGACUCCAGAUUAGGUGCAGAGCUUAGAAAAUGGAGAAAUAGGGAGAAUCGGCCCAAACCGCUGCUCCCAAGCUGUCCUGAGACAUCACAGUUCCUGAGCGCACCUUAAUGCCAGAGAUUUAUAGUCCCGGCAGGUAAAAACACAUUUUCUCAUCAGCAGGAGGCAGAAAACUCUCCAUCCUGGAGCUCCCCAGGCUUCAGGGACCAAAUUAGUGCACUGUGGAUUUGAGAAGCCAAUUUAUCUGCAUAGAUCAGGGUUGCUGCGUCCUUUUCCCGAAUAUUUCCUUAUCUUUGCCAAGUACAUCCUGCCUGGAGGCAGGCAGAGGGUCCUUGGCACGCCGGAUCCAUCCUCAAGGCCAUGGAGGGUGGACAGUGGCUCCUCGUGACCUGCUGGAGUGAUGGGACGAAGCGGCGGCCCCGGUUUUCCAAAGCUUCCUGCGCAUGGGCCGAGCACCAUGUGAGCACGUGGAGGGCGGCGAUGUACAGCAGCUAAAUAGUACCGUAUCGCGCCGGCGGUGUAAAGUCAGCGACUGCACCCCACAGUGUUGCUCGGCACCAGGAUUAGGGAAUAACAGGAAUAGCGGAGCAGCUUUUGUCCCUUCCCGCGACCUCUGGCUGCUUCCCGAAGCGACAGCGGAAGAGUUUCAGGGCAGGCUGGGGCCGGGAUGCUUAAUUUGCUCUGCAGUUCCCCUGCUGUCGCCUCUCUCAGGUUCAUCCCCGAGCCAAACCGGAGCCUCCCCGCCUGGGACCCGUCGGAGGGCAAUUCCCAGCCGGAAGAGCCGCCAUCGGUCAAGUUUGCAGCCCGGAGAGUCGCCAGUUUGUUUCACACCCCGCUUUCCCAGGCGGGAAUCCAAGCGCAGCUUUUAGGGGCUGAGUGAAAGCCAAAAAAAAGGAGCAAAUCCUGUAUUUGCUCGCACUGCCGUUGUGCACCAGCGCCGGGCGGCUGCUGCCACUGCGCAUUGGCCACCAGCUGGGCCCUGAUCCGAAAGGCGUUUGCAGCGUUUUUCGGAGAAGGGGGUUUUCAGGUUGUUCGCUUUGCAGGAGGCAGGAUUUUUCGUGCGUUAAGCUUUGGCCCGCGGCGCGUUGAACCUCAGCGCCCUGGGGGACGGUUGGAAAAAUGCUGCCGAGCCCAUUUCCAGGUCUUUUUUUUUUGAGCUACGGGUCAAAGGCAAAGCUCUCAAAAUGACUUCGCUGUCUGAUAGGUUCUGGCAUAUCUGGGCUGCUUUGAAAUACGGCAUUGGCCUUCCUAAGUUGCUCGGGAUCAGAAAAUAUUUUGAUGCUCCAAUGUCAAGCUAAAAAACCCUGAAAUGCAAACCCUGUGACCUCUUACCUAGCUUGGACCAACGUGCCGUCGACACGAUGAGCAGAUGCAAUCCCCUCGCCAUUUUUUUGGGGGGGUGAACGCGGCGUUUUGUCGUCGUUUUCUGCCCGUCCCGCUUGCCGACCACUGUGGGAAUCACCCAUCCGCGCAGCAUUGAAUUACCGGGGCUUAAAAAGCCGAAGGAGGCUCAGACGACAGCCCAGCUGGUACCUUAAACAGGCAGGCAAAUCCCCAGAGCUGCCGGGGCUGCUCUGCCCUGCCUCGCGGCUGGCUCGUGCCGCAGGGCUGCCUGCAAAGAUGUGCUGGGGAUUUGGGGGGGUCGUGGCGCCUUUUUUUUCCUCCCAGGCCAAAAAGGGUCAGCCGCGGUCGGGUUUCACUGCAUCAGCACAAAAGCUUCCUCCCAUCUGACAGCUCGUCUUCAGCUGAGAUUUUUUUUUUUCCUUUCCAAGCAGGGACGGGAAAUAAAUCCUGCAAAAGCUGGUGGCCUCCUGUGGACCCUCCCAGAGCCCCGGCGCCUCUCCCGCGGCUCCCAUCGCUGCGCCGCCGGCGACUUCUGCCUUCCCACGGCCCCGCCGCCGACCUCCUGGGCUGCCCUCCGCCGCGGCUCCCGGCACCGCAGCACGGCUCCGGCCCCACACCGCUGCGCCGGGCUGCUCGCCACGAGCCGCAUUUUGUUUCGCUGCCGAUUGAAAGGCUGAAACGCAAUGUUUACCGCCUAAAUAUUUUAAGCUUGACUUGCAAACAGAUCAAUUCUACUUCUCGCCAAUGCGUUUAGCAUCGAGCUGGCUGCACUCGGGCUAGGCGGCGAGCUGGCCUGGCAGCAACAGAGAGCUUGUGGAUUCUCUGAUGGCUAAUAGGGUUGUGCUUGCACUGCCGUUUCUUCUCAGGGGUUGCAUUAAUGGAGAAGGGUUUCUCUUUUCUCAAGCUUUGCAAAAUUUCCUAUCCUUGAGGCCUCAAAAAUCAGCCAACAGCCUCAGGAGGCAUUGGGGAAGGGCAGCCACACAACCAGGCCCCACGCAAUGCCAGAAGCAGGGCCCAGUGGUGGCAGCUGCCUCCUGGGGGGUGAGUCCAGUUGCCCCGGGCAGCCCAGGGGAUGGGUCGAACAGGCUGAUUUUAGCGUGCAAAAAGCCUUGGGAGAGGGCAGACACUGUUGAUGCGGCCAGGUGUGAGGUUUUGCAGCGGUUUCUUCUGCUCCAGCAUCGCCAAUAGGAGCUGGGUAACAGUGCUUGGUGCCAACAGGUUUAUGCUCAAAUAUCAGGACUUUGCAAAAACAGCUGCUUUCGAAAGAAAGGCUCUGCCUGCAGCGAGCUGCAGCUCGGUCGCGCGGGGCUGAGCAGUGACCAGCUGUGCUUGGCUGGUGCGUGUGAGCCAGCGCUGGUGGGACGAAGCCAUCGUGGGUGCCCCGAUGCUGCCGCCCUGCGAAGAGCAAGGGUGCUGCGCUGCCAAGACUCGUUCAGACUGAUGCAAAAGGUGACUUUUUUUUUUUUUUUUUUUUUUUUUUUUGGUGGUCUGGUUGCCUCUACGUCAGAGUGAGGUGCUCAGACUGCAGCAGGAGCACAGUGAGAGACAUGUUGCAAGCUUGGCCCGGGGCAGCAGCGGCAGGUGGAGGGACGGAGCUGGGGCCGGGGCACAGAGGUGGCUGCACUGAGCUGCCCAGGGCUCUGCUGCAGCAGGGUUUAAACACAAGAACCAGAAAUGGAAACUGCGUGUUAAAUAAAAGAUUUUACUUUUAUUUAAAAUAAAAUGCAUUUAUACAUAGUCUUGAAACCACAGACUACUGGAACACAACACUGGUUAUUCCUUGGCAUUAGGUGGGGCAGAAGAUCCCUCACCGUUAGCGUUAACUCCGCACUGGUGUAAUAUAUGGGGAGGUCCUGACCCCACGGAUCAGUUAUUGAGGAUGCCGUGGCACAGCUCUGAAAUCAUACUUAACUUAGAUAAAAACGUACUGGGCUGAAAUUGGGGUAUUUUUGUUUUUAGGUUGCUCCCCUUAUCCCUUACAGGCAUACUAUAGUUAAUGCUGAUACACCAGAUCUAUGCAAUAUUCUAGCUGGCUUGUGAGACUAGUUAAAAAAACUGUACAAUUUUAUAAAAUUUGUGUUUUUUACAUUAGUUACACAAAACCUAUACUUCAUAGACCUUUACUUCAUAUUGAAAUGAAAAAGUUUGCAUAUCAUAGGCAGAACAGUGACUAUGCUGGUGAAUACUAAAAGUGUCAUAAUACAAUAUGGUGUAAAAAUAAAAAAAAAGACAAUAUAAAUGAUUAUCAAAAGGAAAGUUAACAAACAAACCAAGCUAUAACAGACUAUCCGAAGGUCAUCUUCAAGGCCACACGCAACUAUCUUCAAAAUAAUGUCAGGCACCUGUAGCAGUCCUGGUGCUUGUAGUGUGAAAGUAAAGAUCAAAAUUCUACUUAUGGGUAGGACAACUUCAAAACAGGAGGUCAAAUUUACAGAAUAAAAAACACAAAAGGAAAUAAAACACUCAUGCAUUAAACAUGAUAAAUAGACUUCAUAUAGCUUAAGCCCUGAUGGCUUUUAAAAGAAGAUGGCUUAGAGUUCUCUUGGAAAUUUGGCUAUUUUAAGUCAGUCAAAUCUUAUCCUGAUCUGCCCAUCGUAUUUUGUAUCUAAAGGCUACAGGCAGAAUUACCUGGCCCAGAUACUGUCUUGUUAUAGCAAAUUAACAGAAGUGCUCAUUAGUGCACACAGAUUAACUGGUCUGGUAAUGCAAAAAUUUUCAUGAUAAAAAAGAUACAUUUCAAGCUUACUUUAUUAAGCAGCAUAUUUCAAAUAACAGCUUUUUAAAGUUAAAUAUUAAUAUGGCCAUGGGGUUUCCUCUCGGCAUACAGUACAUCGAACUCACACCCAACCGCUGGUCAGUUUGUAGAACAUCUCUUCAUCUAAACUUUCGUUCUGAUCUUUUGCUCGUGUCGACAAGAAGAUGUAGCCACCAAUGAAUUCAUGAACCACCUUGCAAUCCACCUCCGUGCAAAUGAAGGACACCCUGACAUCAUCUGCAAACUCCACAGUUACCUAGAGUGCAAAACACCAUGGUUAGGUCCACCAGCGCCUUCCAAAACAAGUUACAGUGACUCACGCUCUUCCUCUCUGUGUUAUUCUUCGUCUCUAUUAAAGCAGACGCCUUUUGCGUUGUCUAAACAAAACGCAGCCAUGUACAUCCUGAUGCAAUAAUUAUUGUUAAAAUGUUUAGAUACAGAAAUACCUUUUAUUGCUGGGAAGGAAUAAUUCUCCUGUGCCUCAAAGAUAAUUACACAAUUGUGUUUGUACCUCUCGGCUGCGUGCAUGGGUAUGUAUUUUCUUUGUUUAAAGAGGAACAGAGACCGGAUAGAGGAUUGUUGAGGGGUGGGAUUGCCUUCCAGGUGACUAGUUUUCCCAGCAAGUGUAUUCUGGUUUUGUAAGCUGAAGUUUUGCAGUAGAAAUGUUGCUUUUUUAUGGGGACUGGGAGAGCUCUUUUUACAACGACUAAACAGACUGUCCAUUUCUUGAUGCCCAUUACUUUUUCCUUACCCCAACACUGACAGCUCUGCAGGAUGGAAGCUGGGGAAUUCCCAGCAGAGGAUCUGACCUGAGCAAUUGGGAUAUCGGGGCUUGCAGAAUGGGUCAAAACAAACACUCUGAGGCAAGGAGGGACUGAAUAGUUUUGCUAGCAACUCUUAUCAAGCCUCACACACACGACAACAGCCCUCAAGUAUCCCUACAGUGGCUGGAAAUUUUCAUCAGGUUUCGCACAGGACCACAAAAGGUUUCUGCAUCCAAUCUUAACAGUUGGGUAAAAGCCCAUCUCAGAGCCUAGUCAAGUGUCUAGUGCUGUUUCUCCUUGGUUAUACAAAGGUCUGAGCUGUACUGCAAAUCGAAUGACUUUUCACGUGGUAAGGCAAAGUACAUUUAUGCCAUUGGUAAGGCUCAAGUCUGAUCUGACUUUUAAUUCUGAAGUUUGAUUUUGUUCAGCUGCCUUUGAGUGGGUGUUCAUAUGGACUGGAAAAACCUGUGAUGCAUUAAGCGUCUAAGUGGCUUAGGUAAAGAAAGAUUCUGUUUUUUUCUUUUUUAAGGUUCAUACUGAACUCCAACAGAAGUUAAGAUAAGCUCUGCUGGAUCUCUGAGGAGGACAGAAGGUGGGGGAGCAGAAAUUAUUUUACCUUGAUGCAGAAGAAUGUCAUCCCAGAACUACCUCCAGAAGAGGCAAAAAACUUUAGAAAAAUGUAGUCAUUUGGCCUAUGCCAUCAGCCUGCCCACCCGGACCAGGCAUGUGCAACGCAGAGAGCUUUCAAAACCCCCUGGGACCUCGCAGUGAUGAAACCAACCACCCAGCCUCCUGAAGGCUCCUGAGUCACAUAGCCUGCGCAAGAUAAAACUGCCUAUGAAAAACAAAAUUGGAUCUGCUCUAGAAAACAGCAACAAAAAUUUUGAUUUUUUAAAAGCUGACUUACCAAAGUCAGCUCAAAAAAACAAAACAGGUUGUGAAACCCAGAGCAAUUUCUUUCUUAUGCCACAAAAACGGGGAAGUGGCCUAGGUGCAGAACGCAAAGCUGAUCUUGGUGAAAACUAGCUUUGUGGUGGGUAUCUCUGGGCACGGUGUGAAGAGAGCCUCGCUCACCAUUUUAAUCUCCCAGUUGACAUUCCACUGCUUCAUGUUGCUGAAUCGCCACGUUUUGACGGCAUCA